UUAUGAUGAUGUAGUGAUAUGUUAAAAUACGAAACGGAUCUUAUCAUAGUGAUAUAUUGAAAUAAGCAAGGGAUGUGGAUUCGGAGAUAGGGAUUGAUGACUAUAUAAUUUGAUAGCAAAUGUUGCAGGAUUUUUUUAUUUUUUACUCUUUUUAUAUGCAACAUUAUGCAUAUGUCCUGCAGAAUUAUAGUAAUUAGUUAAAUUAAUAUAAUAAACAUAACCUAUAAUAAUUACUUAAUCUUUCUAGGUGAUUUAUCUCUUCCUUGGUUGCUUGACAUGAAUAAUCGACCGCUAUUAUUUCCGAAUGAUAAUUCAAGUGAUGCUCCGAAUGAUGGUAAUAGAAAUAAUCUACCUAACAAUCUCCAUCCGGAUAAUGAAGUUGAUGCACCCUUCAAUGAUGAACGCACUUUCAUUAGUCCGUUGUUGUUUGAAGCUAUCCAUGGUUUGGUUGGUCGAAUACGAAGCAUUAUGACCUCGAAUUACAAUGGUUCGUGGAUCUUUUAUUCAGAUAUCCCAAGUUGGAAAAGGGAUGAGUGGUUUCAUAUUUUUAAGCAUUUUUAUAUCGCUGGGAAAUUGCUCAUGAGCAUGCAAUUCGUGGGUUAUUCAAUAAUAAGUGCUCAGACGUACUACGAAGUGCUUUAAAGACGCCGCGGUCAAAGAAGGAAGUCCCAGACUAGUUGAAUUCCAUUUACUUUCGUGACAUGAUAAAGCAAUGAGAAUCAGAGAGCUAUCGCAAAUUUUAAAAAAGAAAUAUUGACAACCGUAAUAAGAAUCUUGAAGCAAAACUAAAUCAGUACCGCGGUGGAUGCUUGUCGACUCGUCUCGUUAUGAAAAGAAUGGAAUUAGACUUAGGCCGAAUACCAUCAGAGCUUGAAAUGCACCGAAAAUGUUGGCGAAAGCCAGAUGGCACAUAUGCAUCCAGAUUAGCGGCUGAAGAAACUCUUAUUAAUUCCACUCAAGGUACCCAAAAUAGUUUUGUUCAAGCAUCUCCAAAGAAUCUUGUUGAUGCAUACGGGAGAUUUAAUCGUAAAGGUCGAGUGCCCAGGUUAGG
Andrographis paniculata is the source of this 1051-nucleotide long non-coding RNA. RefSeq lists it as uncharacterized. The transcript is spliced from 5 exons. NCBI's taxonomy places the organism in Eukaryota, Viridiplantae, Streptophyta, Magnoliopsida, Lamiales, Acanthaceae. The record is from RefSeq and is a predicted model, not a curated record.